GUCAGAAUGGCAUAGUGGUUUUGAGUGUUGCACUACGACUCUGGAGACCAGGGUUCAAUUCCCUUCCUUGGCC
Phrynosoma platyrhinos (Desert horned lizard) is the source of this 73-nucleotide non-coding RNA. The record is from the annotation of a GenBank genome assembly. NCBI's taxonomy places the organism in Eukaryota, Metazoa, Chordata, Lepidosauria, Squamata, Phrynosomatidae.